CGUCAAACGAAGAAUAUCAAGUCUGACGCAGAGCUGGCCAUAUUUCUCAGAACGUUCGGUAACAAUCCUACAAAUCGCACCUUUAAAAGGGGAUGCCAGAGGUUCAGAUCUUCAUUCUACAGCAAUCAGUCAACAAGUACAGAUGAUUACAGAACAGUGGUACAGAUACAGAGAAAGAAAGCCAAAUAGCAUAGAUCACAAGACCUGGUGAUCCAACCAUGGCCGAAAGGUCUGUUAGGAUUUCAUGUGUCCCAUCUGAAGGGCAGCUGGACACCAACUUCCAGGAGGGGAGGCUGAGGAGGCCGACCCCUGACAAGAGAGAGCUGGAUCAGUGGGUGAAGGAGCUGGAGAGAAAGGUGGCGAGGGACAGGAUGAGGGACGAGCUGCGGCGAAUGAGAGAGGCUGUGCACAGAAGGAGCAAAGAGAUGUGGGCAAGACAGUGGGAGUGGCAUAUCUGUCAGGUGGAACUGAAGAAAAAGCAGGAAGAGAGAGAGAGAGAGAAGGUGCCCAGCUGACAGGACUGGAGGAGAGGGUGAUGAGAAAAAGAGAUGACAACAUGGCAACGCUGAGAGAGCAGGAGAGAGUGAUGAAUGAUAUCAAGAAAAAAGCAGUGGAGGAAGAGAGACAGAUAAGGGAGAUGGAAGAGAAAGUGAGAGAGUGUGAGAGAGUGUUGAGAAAACACAUGAAGGAGGAAGAAAGACACAUAAGAGACAUGGAAGAAAAAGUGAGAGAGCAGGAGACAAUGUUGAAAGAAAAAGUAAAGGAGAACAAAAGACAGAUAAGGGAGAUGGAAGAGAAAGUGAGAGAGUCUGAAAGAAGUGUUGAGAAAACAUGUGAAGGAGGAAGAAAGAUUGAUACAAGAGGUGAAAGAGAAAGCGACAGAGCAGGAGAGACUGUUGUGAGCAAAGGCAAAGGAGGAAGAAAGAGGGAUGAGGAAAAUGGCAGAGAAAGUGAGAGAGAAAGAGAGAAUGCUAAGAGAGAUGCAGAAAACAGCAAAGGAAGAAGACAUGAAAAUGAGAGAGAUAAAAGAAAAAGCCAGCAAACAUAAGAGAAUCUUCGGAGAGCUGGAGAGAACAGCGAAGGACCAGGAAACAAAAAUGAGAGAAAUAGAAGAGAAAGUGAGUGAGGAGGAGCAAAUGUUGAGAGAAAAAGUGAAAGAAGGAGAAAGAUGCAGAGAAGCAGAAGAACAAGUGGCAGAGCAGGAGAGAAUGAGAGAAAUUAUGAAAAAAGCGAUGGAGGAAGAAAAUAAAAUGAGGGACAUGGAAGAGAAAGCAAGAGAUCGGGAGUCAAUUUUGAGAGAGGCAGAGAAAAAAAUGAAGGAAAAAGAACAGAGAAAAGAGAUGGAAGUAGAAGUGCGAGAACAUGAGAGAAUGUUGAGAGAAUGUUGAGAGAAAAAGUUAAGGGGACAGAAAGACAGACGAGCGAGAUGAUGGAGAAAGCGAGAGAGCAGGAGAGAAUUCAUCUAGAGAUGGAGAGACAACCAAAGGAGGAAGAGAGACGAACGAAGGAGAUGGUAGAAGCAGCAAUAGAACGGAGGAGAAAACUGAGAGAGAUGAAGAAUAAAGCAGAGAAGGAAAGAGGAAUGAAGGUAGAGAAAGCGAGAGAGCAGGAGCAAACUAUGGAGUCCGAGGACUGUGGCGCAGAGCACGACACAUACACAUACACAGACUCAGGCGAUUCUUUGAUGGAUGAGGAGGAAGAGAAGGAAGCAAUCAAGAGACGAGAACAAAUGGGUGAGAGAAGACAAGAAGAAAAGCUUAGAGAGAAGAUCUUAUUGGCGGUCGAAAGGGAAGAUCCUCAUUAGCUUACGAGAAAGAGAGAGAGGAGAAAAUGGCAAAGGAGAGCGAGGAAGAGAGAAAGUUGAGAGAGGCAGAAGAAAAAGCAAGAGAGCAGGACAAAUUAAGAAAAGAGAUGAAGGCAAAGGCUGAAGAAGAGGAAAGGAGAAGGAGAGAGAUGGAAGAGGAGCGAUUGAGAAAUGCGAGAAGGAGGCGGCGGGGACCGAGGGAAGUGUUUGAGGAGUUCUAUUUUUCGCUCAUAGUAACAUUUUUUGACCUUAAACGGCAUUAUAAAUAAAAACGUACAAAGGUCUCGUUUAGUUCUUUUGUUAAAAUGAUUUACACUUGGUUCACAUUUUACACAGUGUCAUAUAUUUUUUUUAGAAUUGGGUUUGUAGGCUAAUAAAGGCAUUUGCACAUUG
This is a long non-coding RNA of Alosa sapidissima (American shad), 2197 nucleotides long. RefSeq lists it as uncharacterized. The transcript has 4 exons. Lineage: Eukaryota; Metazoa; Chordata; Actinopteri; Clupeiformes; Clupeidae. The record is from RefSeq and is a predicted model, not a curated record.